This 442-nucleotide ribosomal RNA is filed under the name uncultured eukaryote. RNAcentral's name for it is "bacterial SSU rRNA". It matches the Rfam family "Eukaryotic small subunit ribosomal RNA", at positions 1178 to 1608 of the family's 1831-position model. The record is from RNAcentral.
GGAACCUGCGGUCUUAAUUGACCCAACACGGGGAAACUUACUAGGUCAGGACACAGUAAGGAUUGACAGAUUGAAAGCUCUUUUCUUGAUUUUGUGGAUGGUGGUGCAUGGCCGUUUUUAGUUGGUGGAUUGAUUUGUCUGGUUAAUUCCGAAAACGAACGAGACCUUAACCUGUUAACUAUGUGAUGUUAAAAUUCGACUUCGGUCUCAAUAUUUGAUAUUAAAAAUUUAAUACUUCUUAAAGGAACAAUUCAAACUUUAAUUGAAUGGAAGUUUAAGGCAAAAACAGGUCUGUGAUGCCCUUCGAUGUUCUGGGCUGCACGCGCGUUACACUGAUAUGUUCAAUGAGUUUUUAAAUUUCCUAGUCUGAAAAGACGUGGUAAACUUAGAAAAACAUAUCGUGAUUGGAAUAGUAUUUUGUAAUUAUCGCACUUGAACGAGG